This 311-nucleotide long non-coding RNA is filed under the name Mytilus galloprovincialis (Mediterranean mussel). The record is from RNAcentral. Lineage: Eukaryota; Metazoa; Mollusca; Bivalvia; Mytilida; Mytilidae.
UCUUUUUUAUGCCCCACCUACGAUAGUAGAGGGGCAUUAUGUUUUCUGGUCUGUGCGUCCGUUCGUCCGUCCGUUCGUUCGUCCGUUCGUCCGUCUGUCCCGCUUCAGGUUAAAGUUUUUGUCGGGUAGUUUUUGAUGAAGUUGAAGUCCAAUCGACUUCAAACUUGGUACACAUGUUCCCUAUGAUAUGAUCUUUCUAAUUUUAAUGCCAAAUUAGAGAUUUUCCCCCAAUUUCACGGUCCACUGAACAUAGAAAAUGAUAGUGCGAGUGGGGCAUUCGUGUACUGAGGACACAUUCUUGUUUUCAAAUA